AAAAAAGAAAACAUGUGAUUUAAUUUUUGUUGGACAAAUAGUAGGAAUUUAUUAAAAAUUAUUAAUUUUAACAAAAUAUUAAUACAAAGUGAUUAAUAAAAGUAAUGGUGGAUUUAAUAAUUUAAGAAAUUUUAAGUGUUUAAAAAACAAAUGUGUAAGAAAGCGAUAAUUUCGGAGAAACAUUGAAUUGACUAGAGUGUUAAUCUCAUAAAAAGAAUUCCUCAGAAGUAUUUAUGGCAAAAAAUCUUCAUGGACCAGGAGAACGUGUUUGAUCUGCGGUAAUGCAAGUGAAAUGGCGAUGUCCAAGGACGACUACACAGGGAGCAACACCAGGCAGCAAGCAGUUAACAGCAGCCUUUGCCUAAAAAAAAUCUUAAAAAACGGAAACGGCUCAACAUGAUUUACCAAUAUUUAGAACACAGUAACAACACUUUUUUAUUACAACGUGGAACUUUUUGUGAUUUUUUUUAAGUUACUACAAAACCAUUCAUUAGAACUACAUAGUUUGACACUUAAACCACAAGAGUUCGGCAAAUUUCGAAAUGAAGAGCGUAAACGACGACAAAGAAAGGAAAUUAACAAAGCGGCUGGAAAUGCUAAAAUUAUUACUAUUAGAAGAAAAAGGGUUGUAGCAGCAGCACAACAGUGAGGACGUGAGAACAUUACAAAUUCAAA
This is a long non-coding RNA of Lucilia sericata (common green bottle fly), 675 nucleotides long. RefSeq lists it as uncharacterized. The transcript is spliced from 2 exons. The record is from RefSeq and is a predicted model, not a curated record. Lineage: Eukaryota; Metazoa; Arthropoda; Insecta; Diptera; Calliphoridae.